RNAcentral lists this transfer RNA (76 nucleotides) under Novacetimonas hansenii. RNAcentral's name for it is "Komagataeibacter hansenii tRNA-Glu". It matches the Rfam family "tRNA". From Rfam's summary of the family: Transfer RNA (tRNA) molecules are approximately 80 nucleotides in length. Their secondary structure includes four short double-helical elements and three loops (D, anti-codon, and T loops). Further hydrogen bonds mediate the characteristic L-shaped molecular structure. tRNAs have two regions of fundamental functional importance: the anti-codon, which is responsible for specific mRNA codon recognition, and the 3' end, to which the tRNAs corresponding amino acid is attached (by aminoacyl-tRNA synthetases). tRNAs cope with the degeneracy of the genetic code in two manners: having more than one tRNA (with a specific anti-codon) for a particular amino acid; and 'wobble' base-pairing, i.e. permitting non-standard base-pairing at the 3rd anti-codon position. The record is from RNAcentral. Lineage: Bacteria; Pseudomonadati; Pseudomonadota; Alphaproteobacteria; Acetobacterales; Acetobacteraceae. RNAcentral also lists the same sequence under 3 other names.
GUCCCGUUCGUCUAGAGGCCUAGGACACUGCCCUCUCACGGCGGCAACACGGGUUCGAAUCCCGUACGGGACGCCA